UGGAGUCAAUGAUGAAUACUUGCUACAGUUAUCCCUGACUUAGUAAACCAUGCUGAGAAUGUCACGUCAGCCUGAGACUCCA
Molecule: small nucleolar RNA, 82 nt
Organism: Rhopilema esculentum
Lineage: Eukaryota; Metazoa; Cnidaria; Scyphozoa; Rhizostomeae; Rhizostomatidae
Product: small nucleolar RNA R38
Source: RefSeq, a predicted model, not a curated record